AUGCACGCUGGCGGCGUGCCUAAUACAUGCAAGUCGAGCGAACAGACGAGGAGCUUGCUCCUCUGACGUUAGCGGCGGACGGGUGAGUAACACGUGGAUAACCUACCUAUAAGACUGGGAUAACUUCGGGAAACCGGAGCUAAUACCGGAUAAUAUAUUGAACCGCAUGGUUCAAUAGUGAAAGACGGUUUUGCUGUCACUUAUAGAUGGAUCCGCGCCGCAUUAGCUAGUUGGUAAGGUAACGGCUUACCAAGGCGACGAUGCGUAGCCGACCUGAGAGGGUGAUCGGCCACACUGGAACUGAGACACGGUCCAGACUCCUACGGGAGGCAGCAGUAGGGAAUCGUCCGCAAUGGGCGAAAGCCUGACGGAGCAACGCCGCGUGAGUGAUGAAGGUCUUCGGAUCGUAAAACUCUGUUAUUAGGGAAGAACAAAUGUGUAAGUAACUAUGCACGUCUUGACGGUACCUAAUCAGAAAGCCACGGCUAACUACGUG
This 496-nucleotide ribosomal RNA is filed under the name uncultured bacterium. RNAcentral's name for it is "partial 16S ribosomal RNA". It matches the Rfam family "Bacterial small subunit ribosomal RNA", at positions 29 to 507 of the family's 1533-position model. The record is from RNAcentral.